Molecule: RNA transcript, 3018 nt
Organism: Mauremys mutica (yellowpond turtle)
Lineage: Eukaryota; Metazoa; Chordata; Testudines; Geoemydidae
Gene: MZT1
Gene name: mitotic spindle organizing protein 1
Exons: 4
Source: RefSeq, a predicted model, not a curated record
CAGCCGCGCGUGCGCGGUGAGACUUUUCUGUUGGGGCGGGAAUGUUGGAACCCAGGGAGCGGGUGUCCGUUUCCGGGUUAGCGGUCUCGCGCUGAGUUCCUCGGUCGCCAUGGCGAGCGGCGCAGCCAAUUUAAACGCGGUGAGAGAGACGAUGGACGUUCUGCUUGAGAUUUCAAGGAUAUUAAACACUGGUUUGGAUAUGGAAACUCUGUCUAUUUGUGUGCGGUUGUGUGAGCAAGGUAUAAAUCCGGAGGCCUUAUCCUCAGUAAUUAAAGAGCUACGCAAGGCUACAGAAGCGCUAAAGGCUGCUGAAAAUAUGACAAGUUGACUUCAUGGGAGAAGAUAUCUUGAUGAGAUAAAUGUCGAGCUAGCAAAGAGUUUGAAGACUGGCUGCUAUUCAGAAAUAUAGAAUGAAGUUACUGUAGUCUGCAGACUCAAGAAGAUAACACUAUAUUGACUUACAUUUGGAAAACUAUCUUUGCAGCCUGGAGACAGAAAAACCUUUUUUUUUUUUUUUUUAAAUGGAAUCUUAGAUUCUGUUAUAAUCUGAGUAGGACAUGAGGACCACAGAAAUGCAUCAAGCAGGCCUAAUGGUUGACACACCUAUUAUAGACAAUAUGUAAAAUAUGAAUUCAUUUUAAUAGUGAUCUGCAUCGUUUUAUGUUUAUUUUGUUACCUGGUAACAUGAUCUUUUUGGUUUGCUGUUUUACAUAUAUGAAAUAAAACACUUUAGUAUCAAACCUGGGAAAUUUAACUCUAGUGAUGUAUGCUAAGUAUCAUGGUACAUUAGUGGCACCAUAGUGAAAGUUGACACAGAAAGUUCAUUUUAAUUAAUUAGUGCUUUUCUGACUUGAAUAUUUGUGGGGGGAGAAAAAUGAAAAUUUUAAAUGUGAACACGUUUGAAUUGUUUAAAGUAUUUUCGGUUCCCAAGGUAAAAUUGUACUUUCAAACACAGUUUUUCAUAUUUUUACAGUGUCUUGGGUUUUUUGUAAUGUUUUUGGUGAUGAGUGACAAGAAGAAAGUUUAAAAAUAAAAUACAAUGCACAGUUGAAUAUUGAGGGGGGAAGGGGCACAGAAAAUUAAGUUAACUAGUUUGCGGAAUUGAGGGUGUCAAAUCAGUUUACAACAGUAUAGCAAAAAUGACAAAAGAUUGAAGAGCAUGCUGAUAAUGUUGAUUUGCCCAUCUCUUCGCAUUUUCCUGUCUAGUUUCCUAACCAUAGAUCCCGGGGAGGGGCCAUCUUGGCUGAGGACAUGCUGAUUAUUGUUCCAUUUGCAAAGAGUGGGAUAUAGUGGCACUACCUAGGGGCAGCCUCACUUCCUCCAGCAGAAGCUUUAGGGAAGUGCCAACCAUUGCUGAGGUCCAUCUGUGGCUUCAUUCCCUUUGGAUACUUGCAUCAAAGGCCACAUUUAGGGCUGUCUGGGUAUGCCUUUGGUGACUAUAGUUGAGUAAAGCAGAUUUGUAGGGCGGUGGACCAUGUGCUUUUAGGUCCGUGGUUGUGAACAGAACUUUACUCUACAUUUUCUGCUUUUUGAGAGUUUGGCAUUAUUGUCCCUGAGAGACCCUAAGCAGUUUUCAAAAUGUUUGUUUGAAGAUACUAUUAUACAAUAGAUGUUCAAAAUGUCAAUAUGAGCAGUGCAUUUUUAAUUUUACAUCUACAAAUGCUUUUCUCUGUUAUAAGCAGAGUUGAACAAUAAUAUUAAUUAUACUUAGUGUUUUACAUUUCCAAAGCACUUUGUAGGCAUUAAGGACCAUAUUUAUGAGGUAGCACUCACUCCAGUUAUUCAGACUAGGAUCUUCCCUAUGCUGCUGGGAGCUCCCCACCAAAGGGAGCUCCUAGCUCCGGCUGGGCAGGGGAGGGAGAGGACUUGUCCCUCCCCUGCACAGCUGCUCUGGGGUGGGGAGACACCAGCUCCACCUCUGGGUGCCUCCCUCUGCUGCAGGACACUCUGGGACUGGGAAGCAGCCCCAGAAGUUCCUGCAGCUGGAGGAGUUCUUGUGGAAUUGUGUCAAAUCUUUCCUGUGCUGCUGGGAGCGCCCCAACAAAUAGGGCUCCUAGCUCUCGCUGGGCAGGGGAGGGACAGUCCAGCUCUGAAGGGAGCACAGAAGUGAGGGUGACAAUCCCCUGACCCCCUCCCCCCCACAGGUUUGCCACCUUUCCCCGCACCAUCCCUUUUUGGGUCGCGACCCCCACGGUUACAACACUGAAAUUUCAGAUUUAAACAUUUUCAAAUCCUAUGGUUUUGAAAUUGGCCAUAAUGGACUGUGUAUUUGGUAGGGCCCUAUUCAUAACAUUGUUCCCUGUAGGUCCCUGACUGCAUUUCAGCAAGGGGAGAAUCAACCAUUGCAGAAUACACCAUGUAGCCCCCAUAUACAUUCAUUCUCCUCAGUGCUCUCUGUUUGAUGGACCUAUACCAACUCCACUGUCAGGAAACCAGGGUAGAUAAAAAUCAUGAUUUUUUUUAAAAAACCAAAAUAUCACAAUUUUAAUUUUAAAAUAAAUAGUUUUUAAUUUAUACAUUGUUAGUUUAGUAUUUCUCAUUUUAGUCUUAGCUUGCUAAAGUCAAUGUUUUGUAUUUGUUUCUUUAGUUUUCUAAUUAUUAGUAGAAUUUCAGAUUUUAGAUAGAGAUUUUUUUCUAUGGAGCAAUUUCACAGUUGAGGUCCUCAUGUGUGUUGGGGGGGGGAGUCCAUGGCCUCACUAGCAUCGCAGCAUAAAUCCAAUAUAUUGAACUCUCACAGGUCCAGAAGAAGCGUUUCAAGGAGGCUUCUCUAUCUGUGAUUCUAAACUACCUUGGUGCUUUUGAAAAUUCAAACGUUAACUCCCCAAAUAUAUGUUCAAGAGUUUAGGCUCCUAUUUUUGAUAUGUUGGUCAAUGUGUGUAAUAAAAUUCAGAAUAACCUGGUUAAUGUUUUAAAAGUCUAAACAACUUUUAUUGUUAGCACCAAAUCAAUUUUGUUUCAAGUGAAUACAAUUUUAUGCCACUAGAGAAAAGCUUUUAAUAAAAAUACAAUUUUAGCCUC